CCGGAAAAAGAGGAGUGGCGAACGGGUGAGUAACACGUGGGUAACCUGCCCAUCAGAAGGGGAUAACACUUGGAAACAGGUGCUAAUACCGUAUAACAAUCAAAACCGCAUGGUUUUGAUUUGAAAGGCGCUUUCGGGUGUCGCUGAUGGAUGGACCCGCGGUGCAUUAGCUAGUUGGUGAGGUAACGGCUCACCAAGGCCACGAUGCAUAGCCGACCUGAGAGGGUGAUCGGCCACAUUGGGACUGAGACACGGCCCAAACUCCUACGGGAGGCAGCAGUAGGGAAUCUUCGGCAAUGGACGAAAGUCUGACCGAGCAACGCCGCGUGAGUGAAGAAGGUUUUCGGAUCGUAAAACUCUGUUGUUAGAGAAGAACAAGGAUGAGAGUAACUGUUCAUCCUUUGACGGUAUCUAACCAGAAAGCCACGGCUAACUACGUGCCAGCAGCCGCGGUAAUACGUAGGUGGCAAGCGUUGUCCGGAUUUAUUGGGCGUAAAGCGAGCGCAGGCGGUUUCUUAAGUCUGAUGUGAAAGCCCCCGGCUCAACCGGGGAGGGUCAUUGGAAACUGGGAGACUUGAGUGCAGAAGAGGAGAGUGGAAUUCCAUGUGUAGCGGUGAAAUGCGUAGAUAUAUGGAGGAACACCAGUGGCGAAGGCGGCUCU
RNAcentral lists this ribosomal RNA (661 nucleotides) under uncultured Bacilli bacterium. RNAcentral's name for it is "bacterial SSU rRNA". It matches the Rfam family "Bacterial small subunit ribosomal RNA", at positions 81 to 728 of the family's 1533-position model. The record is from RNAcentral. Lineage: Bacteria; Bacillati; Bacillota; Bacilli.